RNAcentral lists this ribosomal RNA (404 nucleotides) under Verrucomicrobiota bacterium. RNAcentral describes it as "Verrucomicrobia bacterium partial 16S ribosomal RNA". It matches the Rfam family "Bacterial small subunit ribosomal RNA", at positions 355 to 776 of the family's 1533-position model. The record is from RNAcentral. Lineage: Bacteria; Pseudomonadati; Verrucomicrobiota.
UGGGGAAUAUUGGACAAUGGGCGCAAGCCUGAUCCAGCCAUGCCGCGUGAGUGAUGAAGGCCCUAGGGUUGUAAAGCUCUUUCACCGGUGAAGAUAAUGACGGUAACCGGAGAAGAAGCCCCGGCUAACUUCGUGCCAGCAGCCGCGGUAAUACGAAGGGGGCUAGCGUUGUUCGGAUUUACUGGGCGUAAAGCGCACGUAGGCGGACUAUUAAGUCAGGGGUGAAAUCCCGGGGCUCAACCCCGGAACUGCCUUUGAUACUGGUAGUCUUGAGUUCGAGAGAGGUGAGUGGAAUUCCGAGUGUAGAGAUGAAAUUCGUAGAUAUUCGGAGGAACACCAGUGGCGAAGGCGGCUCACUGGCUCGAUACUGACGCUGAGGUGCGAAAGCGUGGGGAGCAAACAGG